RNAcentral lists this ribosomal RNA (36 nucleotides) under Prospero autumnale (starry hyacinth). RNAcentral also lists the same sequence under 1 other name. The record is from RNAcentral. Lineage: Eukaryota; Viridiplantae; Streptophyta; Magnoliopsida; Asparagales; Asparagaceae.
UAGUGCGAUCAUACCAGCACUAAAGCACCGAAUUCC